This 483-nucleotide ribosomal RNA is filed under the name uncultured bacterium. RNAcentral's name for it is "partial 16S ribosomal RNA". It matches the Rfam family "Bacterial small subunit ribosomal RNA", at positions 28 to 507 of the family's 1533-position model. The record is from RNAcentral.
GACGAACGCUGGCGGCGUGCUUAACACAUGCAAGUCGAACGCUGAAGCUCAGCUUUUGUUGGGUGGAUGAGUGGCGAACGGGUGAGUAACACGUGAGUAACCUGCCUCCUUCUUUGGGAUAACGCCCGGAAACGGGUGCUAAUACUGGAUAUUCACUGGUCUUCGCAUGGGGGUUGGUGGAAAGGGUUUUUCUGGUGGGGGAUGGGCUCGCGGCCUAUCAGCUUGUUGGUGGGGUGAUGGCCUACCAAGGCUUUGACGGGUAGCCGGCCUGAGAGGGUGACCGGUCACAUUGGGACUGAGAUACGGCCCAGACUCCUACGGGAGGCAGCAGUGGGGAAUAAUGCACAAUGGGCGCAAGCCUGAUGCAGCGACGCCGCGUGAGGGAUGGAGGCCUUCGGGUUGUGAACCUCUUUCGCUCAUGGUCAGGCCGCAACAAUGGUUGUGGUGAGGGUAGUGGGUAAAGAAGCGCCGGCUAACUACGUG